This 253-nucleotide ribosomal RNA is filed under the name uncultured bacterium. RNAcentral's name for it is "partial 16S ribosomal RNA". It matches the Rfam family "Bacterial small subunit ribosomal RNA", at positions 524 to 776 of the family's 1533-position model. The record is from RNAcentral.
UACGUAGGGGGCAAGCGUUGUCCGGAAUCAUUGGGCGUAAAGCGCGUGUAGGCGGCUGAGUAAGUCUGCUCUGAAAGCCCGGGGCUCAACCCCGGGAGGCGGGUGGAUACUGCUCAGCUCGAGUCCGGAAGAGGAGUGUGGAAUUCCCGGUGUAGAGGUGAAAUUCGUAGAUAUCGGGAGGAACACCAGUGGCGAAGGCGGCGAUCUGGGAAGAUACUGACGCUGAGGUGCGAAAGCGUGGGGAGCAAACAGG